RNAcentral lists this ribosomal RNA (301 nucleotides) under uncultured bacterium. Its description in RNAcentral is "partial 16S ribosomal RNA". It matches the Rfam family "Bacterial small subunit ribosomal RNA", at positions 509 to 809 of the family's 1533-position model. The record is from RNAcentral.
CAGUCGCCACGGGAAUACGAAGGGUGCAAGCGUUACUCGGAAUUACUGGGCGUAAAGCGUGCGUAGGUGGUGGUUUAAGUCCGUUGUGAAAGCCCUGGGCUCAAUCCGGGAAUUGCAGUGGAUACUGGGUCACUAGAGUGUGGUAGAGGAUAGUGGAAUUUCCGGUGUAGCAGUGAAAUGCGUAGAGAUCGGAAGGAACAUCUGUGGCGAAGGCGACUAUCUGGGCCAACACUGACACUGAGGCACGAAAGCGUGGGGAGCAAACAGGAUUAGAUACCCCUGUAGUCCCUGUCUCUUAUAA